ACAAAACUCCGUUUAGAAAUUUUACCGAAAUUUUACAGUUUUAAAACUAAUCUUACGUCGGCCUAAGGAUUCAACUGCGACGUUUUAACCACGCGACUGGGUCUUAUUCUAGAUUCGGCGUACGUACGGCACACAGAGACUCACAUUUUACGAUAUUUUAGUAGCCGGAAAUGUGAGGUUCAAGUUCAAGUUGUUUUGCACGCCUUCAUCCCAAAAUAUCGUGGACGAGUGUUUUGCUAUAUCUGGAUUUUGCCGGAAUGAUGUUCGACUGUCAUGCGUAUGCCAAAGGUCUUAAUAGUCUCCAAAUGUGCCGCGACUCACAAUAUGAAAAUUGAAACUAGCCACUGACAUUUAUUCGUGGAGUUUGGACUACGCGCCUCAGUCGCGGGAGAACAAGCUACCGGGUUCGGGGUAUGAUGUUAGAUAAACCGCUGACCCGUGCACCCAAGUGUUCUUCCCGUUUCGUGUAUUUCACCGGAGCAGCAAAGCAAACAUGUCGACAGGGUUCCCCAGGGGUCCAUCCUAGGUCCCCCUUCAUUCUCCAUCUGCAUGGCUAUGCAACUGUCUAUCACGCGUGUUCCAGUAAGACCAGUUAAACUCACUAAGCAAGAAGAGCCUCCUGCAAGUAGGAAGCCGCCUUGUCGGCGAGCAUCCACCCUGUUCUUGAGAAAUACUGACUUCCUACCAGCUGCCGGAUCCUGAUCUGGAGUUGAGUCUGACCUCUGAACUACCACGGCAUCUCUGUUGGGCUAAGGUCUCGGCUCCGACCGGGCCCCUCCAGAAAGAGGACUUCCUUCAUCUGAAGUCAUUCUGUAGUAGAGUUACUUUCAUGUUUGGGGUCAUUCUCCUGCCGUCUCACCCAACUUUAACUGAGCUUCAGCUGGCAGACAGCCGACCUGACAUUAUCCUGUAAUACCUGGAUAAACUUGGGAAUUAAUUUUCCCCUCGAUGAUGGCGAGCUGUCCAGGCCCAGAGGCAGCAAAUCAGGAGAUCAGUAUCGGAUUACAUAGUUUUUCCAAGGAAACUUCCUAAGAAAUGACAGAUCCAUAAAAUCAAGACCUGGAUUGUUCUGGUUCUCCUGGGAAUCCACGGCGGCAGGUGUCCACAUUGUCCAGAAAUUGGCUGUGAGUGGGAGGCUGAGACUAAAGAGGUUCAUGGUUACGAUCGGUGCGGGUAUGAUGGAGAAGACUUUAUAGCGCUGGACUUGCAGACACUGACAUGGAUCCCUCCUAAACAGCAGGCCUUCAACACCAAAAUGAUGUGGGAUA
Molecule: long non-coding RNA, 1268 nt
Organism: Xiphias gladius (swordfish)
Lineage: Eukaryota; Metazoa; Chordata; Actinopteri; Istiophoriformes; Xiphiidae
Exons: 5
Source: RefSeq, a predicted model, not a curated record